This 497-nucleotide ribosomal RNA is filed under the name uncultured bacterium. RNAcentral describes it as "partial 16S ribosomal RNA". It matches the Rfam family "Bacterial small subunit ribosomal RNA", at positions 28 to 507 of the family's 1533-position model. The record is from RNAcentral.
GAUGAACGCUGGCGGCGUGCCUAAUACAUGCAAGUCGAGCGAACAGACGAGGAGCUUGCUCCUCUGACGUUAGCGGCGGACGGGUGAGUAACACGUGGAUCACCUACCUAUAAGACUGGGAUAACUUCGGGAAACCGGAGCUAAUACCGGAUAACAUGUUGAACCGCAUGGUUCAACAGUGAAAGACGGUCUUGCUGUCACUUCUAGAUGGAUCCGCGCCGCAUUAGCUAGUUGGUAAGGUAACGGCUUACCAAGGCAACGAUGCGUAGCCGACCUGAGAGGGUGAUCGGCCACACGGGAACUGAGACACGGUCCAGACGCCUAAGGGAGGGAGCAGUCGGGAAUCUGACGCAAUGGGCGAAAGCCUGACGGAGCAACGCCGCGUGAGUGAAGAAGGUCUUCGGAUCGUAAAGCUCUGUUAUUAGGGAAGAACAAAUGUGUAAGUAACUAUGCACGUCUUGACGGUACCUAAUCAGAAAGCCUCGGCUAACUACGUG